CUAGUACGAGAGGACCGGGAAGAACACACCUCUGGUGUACCAGUUAUCGUGCCUACAGUAAACGCUGGGUAGCCAAGUGCGGAGAGGAUAAAUGCUGAAAGCAUAUAAGUAGUAAGCCCACCCCAAGAUGAGUGCUCUCUCCUCCGACUUCCCUAGAGCCUCCGGUAUCACAGCCGAGACAGCGACGGGUUCUCCACCCAU
This 201-nucleotide ribosomal RNA is filed under the name Triticum aestivum (bread wheat). RNAcentral describes it as "partial small subunit ribosomal RNA". The stretch from base 1 to 137 matches the Rfam family "Bacterial large subunit ribosomal RNA", at positions 2678 to 2813 of the family's 2925-position model. Lineage: Eukaryota; Viridiplantae; Streptophyta; Magnoliopsida; Poales; Poaceae. The record is from RNAcentral.